RNAcentral lists this ribosomal RNA (492 nucleotides) under uncultured bacterium. RNAcentral's name for it is "partial 16S ribosomal RNA". It matches the Rfam family "Bacterial small subunit ribosomal RNA", at positions 30 to 507 of the family's 1533-position model. The record is from RNAcentral.
AUUGAACGCUGGCGGCAUGCUUUACACAUGCAAGUCGAACGGUAACAGGCCUUCGGGUGCUGACGAGUGGCGCACGGGUGAGUAAUGCAUCGGAACGUACCCAGAGGUGGGGGAUAACGCAGCGAAAGCUGUGCUAAUACCGCAUGUGAUCUGAGGAUGAAAGCGGGGGACCGAGCAGCAAUGUUUGGCCUCGCGCCUUUUGAGCGGCCGAUGUCGGAUUAGCUAGUUGGUGGGGUAAAGGCCUACCAAGGCGACGAUCCGUAGCUGGUCUGAGAGGACGAACAGCCACACUGGGACUGAGACACGGCCCAGACUCCUACGGGAGGCAGCAGUGGGGAAUUUUGGACACUGGGCGCAAGCCUGAUCCAGCAAUGCCGCGUGCGGGAAGAAGGCAUUCGGGUUGUAAACCGCUUUUGGCAGGAACGAAACGGUGUCCGCUAAUACCGGGCGAUAAUGACGGUACCUGCAGAAUAAGCACCGGCUAACUACGUG